RNAcentral lists this transfer RNA (70 nucleotides) under Marmota monax (woodchuck). RNAcentral describes it as "tRNA.Ala". Lineage: Eukaryota; Metazoa; Chordata; Mammalia; Rodentia; Sciuridae. The record is from RNAcentral.
UACAGGUAUAGCUCAGUGGCAGACUGUUUACCUGGCAUGCACAAAAUCCUGGGUUCAAUCCCCAGAGUAA